This 429-nucleotide ribosomal RNA is filed under the name uncultured bacterium. RNAcentral's name for it is "bacterial SSU rRNA". It matches the Rfam family "Bacterial small subunit ribosomal RNA", at positions 355 to 776 of the family's 1533-position model. The record is from RNAcentral.
UAGGGAAUCUUCCACAAUGGACGCAAGUCUGAUGGAGCAACGCCGCGUGAGUGAAGAAGGUUUUCGGAUCGUAAAGCUCUGUUGUUGGUGAAGAAGGAUAGAGGUAGUAACUGGCCUUUAUUUGACGGUAAUCAACCAGAAAGUCACGGCUAACUACGUGCCAGCAGCCGCGGUAAUACGUAGGUGGCAAGCGUUGUCCGGAUUUAUUGGGCGUAAAGCGAGCGCAGGCGGAAGAAUAAGUCUGAUGUGAAAGCCCUCGGCUUAACCGAGGAAUUGCAUCGGAAACUGUUUUUCUUGAGUGCAGAAGAGGAGAGUGGAACUCCAUGUGUAGCGGUGGAAUGCGUAGAUAUAUGGAAGAACACCAGUGGCGAAGGCGGCUCUCUGGUCUGCAACUGACGCUGAGGCUCGAAAGCAUGGGUAGCGAACAGG